This 27-nucleotide transfer RNA is filed under the name Libnotes perkinsi. RNAcentral describes it as "partial tRNA-Met". Lineage: Eukaryota; Metazoa; Arthropoda; Insecta; Diptera; Limoniidae. The record is from RNAcentral.
AUAAAGGUUUUACCCCUUUUCUUUUUA